Molecule: ribosomal RNA, 469 nt
Filed under: uncultured bacterium
Lineage: Bacteria
Description: partial 16S ribosomal RNA
Rfam family: Bacterial small subunit ribosomal RNA
Source: RNAcentral
GAUGAACGCUGGCGGCGUGCUUAACACAUGCAAGUCGAACGGUGAACACGGAGCUUGCUCUGUGGGAUCAGUGGCGAAUGGGUGAGUAACACGUGAGCAACCUGCCCCUGACUCUGGGAUAAGCGCUGGAAACGGCGUCUAAUACUGGAUAUGUGACGUGACCGCAUGGUCUGCGUUUGGAAAGAUUUUUCGGUUGGGGAUGGGCUCGCGGCCUAUCAGCUUGUUGGUGAGGUAAUGGCUCACCAAGGCGUCGACGGGUAGCCGGCCUGAGAGGGUGACCGGCCACACUGGGACUGAGACACGGCCCAGACUCCUACGGGAGGCAGCAGUGGGGAAUAUUGCACAAUGGGCGCAAGCCUGAUGCAGCAACGCCGCGUGAGGGAUGACGGCCUUCGGGUUGUAAACCUCUUUUAGCAGGGAAGAAGCGAAAGUGACGGUACCUGCAGAAAAAGCGCCGGCUAACUACGUG